Molecule: ribosomal RNA, 1450 nt
Filed under: uncultured organism
Description: SSU rRNA
Rfam family: Bacterial small subunit ribosomal RNA
Source: RNAcentral
CUACAGGCUUAACACAUGCAAGUCGAGGGGCAGCAUUUUAGUUUGCUUGCAAACUGAAGAUGGCGACCGGCGCACGGGUGAGUAACACGUAUCCAACCUGCCGAUAACUCCGGAAUAGCCUUUCGAAAGAAAGAUUAAUACCGGAUAGCAUACGAAUAUCGCAUGAUAUUUUUAUUAAAGAAUUUCGGUUAUCGAUGGGGAUGCGUUCCAUUAGUUUGUUGGCGGGGUAACGGCCCACCAAGACAACGAUGGAUAGGGGUUCUGAGAGGAAGGUCCCCCACAUUGGAACUGAGACACGGUCCAAACUCCUACGGGAGGCAGCAGUGAGGAAUAUUGGUCAAUGGGCGAGAGCCUGAACCAGCCAAGUAGCGUGAAGGAUGAAGGCUCUAUGGGUCGUAAACUUCUUUUAUAUGGGAAUAAAGUUUUCCACGUGUGGAAUUUUGUAUGUACCAUAUGAAUAAGGAUCGGCUAACUCCGUGCCAGCAGCCGCGGUAAUACGGAGGAUCCGAGCGUUAUCCGGAUUUAUUGGGUUUAAAGGGAGCGUAGGUGGAUUGUUAAGUCAGUUGUGAAAGUUUGCGGCUCAACCGUAAAAUUGCAGUCGAAACUGGCAGUCUUGAGUACAGUAGAGGUGGGCGGAAUUCGUGGUGUAGCGGUGAAAUGCCUAGAUAUCACGAAGAACUCCGAUUGCGAAGGCAGCUCACUAGACUGUCACUGACACUGAUGCUCGAAAGUGUGGGUAUCAAACAGGAUUAGAUACCCUGGUAGUCCACACAGUAAACGAUGAAUACUCGCUGUUUGCGAUAUACAGUAAGCGGCCAAGCGAAAGCAUUAAGUAUUCCACCUGGGGAGUACGCCGGCAACGGUGAAACUCAAAGGAAUUGACGGGGGCCCGCACAAGCGGAGGAACAUGUGGUUUAAUUCGAUGAUACGCGAGGAACCUUACCCGGGCUUAAAUUGCAACAGAAUAUAUUGGAAACAGUAUAGCCGUAAGGCUGUUGUGAAGGUGCUGCAUGGUUGUCGUCAGCUCGUGCCGUGAGGUGUCGGCUUAAGUGCCAUAACGAGCGCAACCCUUAUCUUUAGUUACUAACAGGUUAUGCUGAGGACUCUAGAGAGACUGCCGUCGUAAGAUGUGAGGAAGGUGGGGAUGACGUCAAAUCAGCACGGCCCUUACGUCCGGGGCUACACACGUGUUACAAUGGGGGGUACAGAAGGCGGCUACCUGGUGACAGGAUGCUAAUCCCAAAAACCUCUCUCAGUUCGGAUCGAAGUCUGCAACCCGACUUCGUGAAGCUGGAUUCGCUAGUAAUCGCGCAUCAGCCAUGGCGCGGUGAAUACGUUCCCGGGCCUUGUACACACCGCCCGUCAAGCCAUGAAAGCCGGGGGUACCUGAAGUACGUAACCGCAAGGAGCGUCCUAGGGUAAAACUGGUAAUUGGGGCUAAGUCAUAACA